RNAcentral lists this ribosomal RNA (292 nucleotides) under uncultured bacterium. RNAcentral describes it as "partial 16S ribosomal RNA". It matches the Rfam family "Bacterial small subunit ribosomal RNA", at positions 505 to 796 of the family's 1533-position model. The record is from RNAcentral.
GUGUCAGCCGCCGCGGUAAUACGUAGGGUGCGAGCGUUAAUCGGAAUUACUGGGCGUAAAGCGUGCGCAGGCGGUCCGUUAUGUCGGAUGUGAAAGCCCCGGGCUCAACCUGGGAACGGCAUUCGAAACUGGCGGGCUGGAGUGUGGCAGAGGGGGGUGGAACUCCUGGUGUAGCAGUGAAAUGCGUAGAGAUCAGGAAGAACACCGAUGGCGAAGGCAGCCCCCUGGGCUAACACUGACGCUCAGGCACGAAAGCGUGGGGAGCAAACAGGAUUAGAAACCCGGGUAGUCC